UACGUAGGGUGCGAGCGUUGUCCGGAAUUAUUGGGCGUAAAGAGCUCGUAGGCGGUGUGUCACGUCGGCCGUGAAAACCCGCAGCUUAACUGUGGGCGUGCGGUCGAUACGGGCAUCACUGGAGUUCGGCAGGGGAGACUGGAAUUCCUGGUGUAGCGGUGAAAUGCGCAGAUAUCAGGAGGAACACCGGUGGCGAAGGCGGGUCUCUGGGCCGAUACUGACGCUGAGGAGCGAAAGCGUGGGGAGCAAACAGG
This 254-nucleotide ribosomal RNA is filed under the name uncultured bacterium. Its description in RNAcentral is "partial 16S ribosomal RNA". It matches the Rfam family "Bacterial small subunit ribosomal RNA", at positions 524 to 776 of the family's 1533-position model. The record is from RNAcentral.